UGAUCUUUGCCCCUUUUCCACUCCACAAUGAACGAAGAAGAGAGCAGUUUGGACCCAUAGUUCUGCACUCUAGGAUUGUCAAUGGUGUAUUUGUUGAAAAGGGACACUUGCAAUUUCUGAUCGGGUUAGCACCAGAAAAUGAGACACGCUCCCUCCCUCCAAGCGUCGUUGCUACUGAUCAGGCAGUCACCCUUCUCUUUUUUGGUGUACUGAUCUGCUGACGCCAAAUCCACUUUCCUCUGUACUGAGGUCGUGCCAAUGCGGGAUCUAGUCGUUAGUGGUCUGGACAAACGAGGAAGACUACACUGUCUGUUUCUCUCACAGAAAUCAAAACAACAGCCUCCACACCCUAUCCCAAUCAGACGGACAAUCAUCCUCAGGUACCAAAUCCACCCCCUCCUGCAUAUCCGAAUUUGGUCAAUAACGUGGCCAACCUGGGUGUCAAAAUGGCUCGAAGCGAGGUAGAGGUGGCCACUGAGGCUGUAAGGGUUAUUGGCGAUCUCCUUACCAGGCCCAAUGAGAUGAACAGGUCUCAUAUUGCCCAACAAUCGGCAUCUAGUGCGAUGGCAGCUGCACAAGGAGCCCGAAUCAUAGCCGACGGCACACAAACAAGAGAAUCAAGGGAGAACGCAGAUAUCGCCGAAUCUUUGGCCCUAACAGCCCAGAAACUUGCUAAUCUCGUGAACUAAGAUCAAUAUAAAAAUUAGAGUAUG
Long non-coding RNA from Tigriopus californicus, 713 nucleotides. RefSeq lists it as uncharacterized. The record is from RefSeq and is a predicted model, not a curated record. Lineage: Eukaryota; Metazoa; Arthropoda; Copepoda; Harpacticoida; Harpacticidae. The transcript has 3 exons.